Molecule: ribosomal RNA, 515 nt
Filed under: uncultured bacterium
Lineage: Bacteria
Description: bacterial SSU rRNA
Rfam family: Bacterial small subunit ribosomal RNA
Source: RNAcentral
AGAGUUUGAUCCUGGCUCAGGACGAACGCUGGCGGCGUGCUUAACACAUGCAAGUCGAACGGGAUUUAGUAGACAGAAGCCUCGGUGGAAGAUUACUAAUGAGAGUGGCGAACGGGUGAGUAACGCGUGAGCAACCUGCCUAUGACAGUGGGAUAGCCUCGGGAAACCGGGAUUAAUACCGCAUAAAAUCGUAGAAACACAUGUUUUAACGGUCAAAGAUUUAUCGGUCAUAGAUGGGCUCGCGUCUGAUUAGCUAGUUGGUGAGAUAACAGCCCACCAAGGCGACGAUCAGUAGCCGGUCUGAGAGGAUGAACGGCCACAUUGGAACUGAGACACGGUCCAAACUCCUACGGGAGGCAGCAGUGGGGAAUAUUGCACAAUGGGGGAAACCCUGAUGCAGCGACGCCGCGUGAACGAAGAAGGUAUUCGUAUCGUAAAGUUCUGUCCUAUGGGAAGAUAAUGACAGUACCAUAGAAGAAAGCUCCGGCUAAAUACGUGCCAGCAGCCGCGGUAAU